AUCUAUGAUUUCAUCGGUGUG
Molecule: microRNA, 21 nt
Filed under: Monodelphis domestica (gray short-tailed opossum)
Lineage: Eukaryota; Metazoa; Chordata; Mammalia; Didelphimorphia; Didelphidae
Description: Mdo-Mir-12358-v1_3p* (star (passenger))
Source: RNAcentral